Molecule: ribosomal RNA, 463 nt
Filed under: uncultured bacterium
Lineage: Bacteria
Description: partial 16S ribosomal RNA
Rfam family: Bacterial small subunit ribosomal RNA
Source: RNAcentral
GAUGAACGCUGACCGAAUGCUUAACACAUGCAAGUCUUUGGCGAAUCUGUGCUUGCACAGGCUAGCCAAGGCGGACGGGUGAGUAACGCGUAAAGAACUUGCCCUGCAGACAGGGAUAACAGACGGAAACGACUGAUAACACCUGAUACAGUUGCCGGCACGCAUGUGCCUGGCAAUGAAAAGAGAUGCUGCAGGAGAGCUUUGCGUCCUAUUAGCUUGUUGGUGAGGUGACGGCUCACCAAGGCGAUGAUAGGUAGCCGGCCUGAGAGGGUGAACGGCCACAAGGGGACUGAGAUACGGCCCUUACGCCUACGGGAGGCAGCAGUGGGGAAUAUUGGACAAUGGGGGCAACCCUGAUCCAGCAAUUCUGUGUGCACGAAGAAGGUUUUCGGAGUGUAAAGUGCUUUCAGCAGGGAAGAAGAAAGUGACGGUACCUGCAGAAGAAGCGACGGCUAAAUACGUG